UACGAAGGGGGCUAGCGUUGCUCGGAAUCACUGGGCGUAAAGCGCACGUAGGCGGAUCUUUAAGUCAGGGGUGAAAUCCUGGAGCUCAACUCCAGAACUGCCUUUGAUACUGGGGAUCUCGAGUCCGGGAGAGGUGAGUGGAACUGCGAGUGUAGAGGUGAAAUUCGUAGAUAUUCGGAGGAACACCAGUGGCGAAGGCGGCUCACUGGUCCGGUACUGACGCUGAGGUGCGAAAGCGUGGGGAGCAAACAGG
RNAcentral lists this ribosomal RNA (253 nucleotides) under uncultured bacterium. RNAcentral describes it as "partial 16S ribosomal RNA". It matches the Rfam family "Bacterial small subunit ribosomal RNA", at positions 524 to 776 of the family's 1533-position model. The record is from RNAcentral.